RNAcentral lists this unclassified non-coding RNA (412 nucleotides) under Hevea brasiliensis (rubber tree). The record is from RNAcentral. Lineage: Eukaryota; Viridiplantae; Streptophyta; Magnoliopsida; Malpighiales; Euphorbiaceae.
AUGAAAAUGAGGAAAAGCAAAAGAUGAAAGUAAAAGAAAAGUUUGACAAGUAUAUUAAAGAGAAGCUGUUGGAAUUCUGUGAUGUACUGGAUAUACCUGUUACCAAAGCUACUUCCAGAAAGGAAGACAUGGUGGUAAAGUUGAUGGACUUUCUGGAAGCUCCUCAUGCUACAACUUCUGAGUUGCUGGCCGAGAAGGACCAGUCAAGCAGAGGAAAGAAGCGGAGAAGAGAGAGCAAAAAAAGUCCCUCAUCGGCAUCCGCUAGCUCGAAAGGAUCAACCAAGGUAUUUCUCUCCUCUUAACAUCUAUUUGAGUUCUAGUAGUGAAAUAAUACCAACUGAAAUAUGGUUUUCCAUUUGCAACCGGCUACUUGUAUCCUGUAGUCUUAACUCUUAAUAUUCACGAACAAAAU